GAUGAAGAACGCAGUGAAAUGCGAUAAGUAAUGUGAAUUGCAGAAUUCAGUGAAUCAUCGAAUCUUUGAACGCACAUUGCGCCCCUUGGUAUCCCGAGGGGCAUGCCUGUUCGAGCGUCGUUUCACCACUCAAGCCUGGCUUGGUGUUGGGCGACGUCCUCUUUGGGGACGCGCCUCGAAACGCUCGGCGGCGUGGCACCGGCUUUAAGCGUAGCAGAAUCUUUCGCUUUGGAAGUCGGGGCCCCGUCUGCCGGAAGACCUGCUCGCAAGGUUGACCUCGGAUCAGGCAGGGAUACCCGCUGAACUUAAGCAUAUCAAUAAGCGGAGGA
This 329-nucleotide unclassified non-coding RNA is filed under the name soil metagenome. Its description in RNAcentral is "partial contains 5.8S ribosomal RNA, internal transcribed spacer 2, and large subunit ribosomal RNA". The stretch from base 1 to 120 matches the Rfam family "5.8S ribosomal RNA", at positions 35 to 154 of the family's 154-position model. The record is from RNAcentral.